This 481-nucleotide unclassified non-coding RNA is filed under the name Artemisia inaequifolia. Its description in RNAcentral is "partial external transcribed spacer". The stretch from base 428 to 481 matches the Rfam family "Eukaryotic small subunit ribosomal RNA", at positions 1 to 54 of the family's 1831-position model. The record is from RNAcentral. Lineage: Eukaryota; Viridiplantae; Streptophyta; Magnoliopsida; Asterales; Asteraceae.
CGUAAAGGUGGAUGAGUGGUGUUUGGUUUGUUACGUGUGGUUGGCUGCGGCGUUUGCAACAACUUCCAUGCUUUCAGACCUCUUCAKUUGUGCGGCAAGGCUUGUAUCGCCUUGAGCGUAUUGUGGGUUUUCUGUGUUGAAUACCUAAUCAAUGGUAUCGGUUGGAUUGAUCAAUGUUUCAUUUCGUCUGUCGUCGCAUUCGCGGCGUGAGAUGAACCUUGAUGCGGUCUCUUUGAUCCACCUCGUUGAAGCGCAUGCUUUGACGUUGUGGCGCAUUGAGCAUUGCUUGGUCUCUUGUAUGCGGAACAUGUAGUGGGCAUGAAUCUCACGAUUCUUGUUUGCCCUCAUAUUAGCGUAACGCUUCUCUUACACGACUUGCUCCACGUUUUAGCUCGUACGGACGUGGUGCUAUGUCGAAGAGGAAUGCUACCUGGUUGAUCCUGCCAGUAGUCAUAUGCUUGUCUCAAAGAUUAAGCCAUGC